This 490-nucleotide ribosomal RNA is filed under the name uncultured bacterium. Its description in RNAcentral is "partial 16S ribosomal RNA". It matches the Rfam family "Bacterial small subunit ribosomal RNA", at positions 30 to 507 of the family's 1533-position model. The record is from RNAcentral.
AUUGAACGCUGGCGGCAGGCCUAACACAUGCAAGUCGAACGGUAACAGGAAGAAGCUUGCUUCUUUGCUGACGAGUGGCGGACGGGUGAGUAAUGUCUGGGAAACUGCCUGAUGGAGGGGGAUAACUACUGGAAACGGUAGCUAAUACCGCAUAACGUCGCAAGACCAAAGAGGGGGACCUUCGGAACUCUUGCCAUCGGAUGUGCCCAGAUGGGAUUAGCUAGUAGGUGGGGUAACGGCUCACCUAGGCGACGAUCCCUAGCUGGUCUGAGAGGAUGACCAGCCACACUGGAACUGAGACACGGUCCAGACUCCUACGGGAGGCAGCAGUGGGGAAUAUUGCACAAUGGGCGCAAGCCUGAUGCAGCCAUGCCGCGUGUAUGAAGAAGGCCUUCGGGUUGUAAAGUACUUUCAGCGGGGAGGAAGGGAGUAAAGUUAAUACCUUUGCUCAUUGACGUUACCCGCAGAAGAAGCACCGGCUAACUCCGUG